RNAcentral lists this ribosomal RNA (1005 nucleotides) under uncultured bacterium. RNAcentral describes it as "bacterial SSU rRNA". It matches the Rfam family "Bacterial small subunit ribosomal RNA", at positions 356 to 1376 of the family's 1533-position model. The record is from RNAcentral.
GGGGAAUAUUGGGCAAUGGAGGAAACUCUGACCCAGCAACGCCGCGUGGAGGAAGAAGGUUUUCGGAUCGUAAACUCCUGUCCUUGGAGACGAGUAGAAGACGGUAUCCAAGGAGGAAGCCCCGGCUAACUACGUGCCAGCAGCCGCGGUAAUACGUAGGGGGCAAGCGUUGUCCGGAAUAAUUGGGCGUAAAGGGCGCGUAGGCGGCUCGGUAAGUCUGGAGUGAAAGUCCUGCUUUUAAGGUGGGAAUUGCUUUGGAUACUGUCGGGCUUGAGUGCAGGAGAGGUUAGUGGAAUUCCCAGUGUAGCGGUGAAAUGCGUAGAGAUUGGGAGGAACACCAGUGGCGAAGGCGACUAACUGGACUGUAACUGACGCUGAGGCGCGAAAGUGUGGGGAGCAAACAGGAUUAGAUACCCUGGUAGUCCACACUGUAAACGAUGAAUGCUAGGUGUAGGGGGUAUCGACCCCUUCUGUGCCGCAGUCAACACAAUAAGCAUUCCGCCUGGGGAGUACGGCCGCAAGGUUGAAACUCAAAGGAAUUGACGGGGGCCCGCACAAGCAGCGGAGCAUGUGGUUUAAUUCGACGCAACGCGAAGAACCUUACCAGGUCUUGACAUCCACUUAAACUUACAGAGAUGUAAGGUGUGCUUGCACAAAGUGAGACAGGUGGUGCAUGGUUGUCGUCAGCUCGUGUCGUGAGAUGUUGGGUUAAGUCCCGCAACGAGCGCAACCCUUAUCUUCAGUUACUAACGCGUGAAGGCGAGGACUCUGAAGAGACUGCCGGGGACAACUCGGAGGAAGGUGGGGACGACGUCAAAUCAUCAUGCCCCUUAUGACCUGGGCUACACACGUGCUACAAUGGCCACGACAGAGAGAAGCGAAAUCGUAAGGUAGAGCGGAACUCAAAAAAGUGGUCCCAGUUCGGAUUGUGGGCUGCAACCCGCCCACAUGAAGUCGGAGUUGCUAGUAAUCGCGGAUCAGCAUGCCGCGGUGAAUACGUUCCCG